Molecule: ribosomal RNA, 988 nt
Filed under: uncultured Halobacteria archaeon
Lineage: Archaea; Methanobacteriati; Methanobacteriota; Halobacteria
Description: bacterial SSU rRNA
Rfam family: Archaeal small subunit ribosomal RNA
Source: RNAcentral
AGGCGCGAAACCUUUACACUGUACGCAAGUGCGAUAGGGGAAUCCCAAGUGCGAGGGCAUACUAGCCCUCGCUUUUGUGUACUGUAAGGAGGUACACGAAUAAGAGCUGGGCAAGACCGGUGCCAGCCGCCGCGGUAAUACCGGCAGCUCGAGUGAUGUCCAAUAUUAUUGGGCCUAAAGCGUCCGUAGCUGGCCAGCCAAGUUCGUCGGGAAAUCCACCUGCCCAACAGGUGGGCGUCCGGCGAAAACUGUCUGGCUUGGAACCAGAAGGCUCAGAGGGUACGUCCGGGGUAGGAGUGAAAUCCCGUAAUCCCGGACGGACCACCGAUGGCGAAAGCACUCUGAGAGGACGGAUUCGACAGUGAGGGACGAAAGCUAGGGUCUCGAACCGGAUUAGAUACCCGGGUAGUCCUAGCUGUAAACGAUGCUCGUUAGGUUUGGCACCACUACGAGUGGGUGCUGUGCCGUAGGAAGCCGCUAAACGAGCCGCCUGGGAAGUACGUCCGCAAGGAUGAAACUUAAAGGAAUUGGCGGGGGAGCACUACAACCGGAGGAGCCUGCGGUUUAAUUGGACUCAACGCCGGACAUCUCACCAGCCCCGACAUCAGUAAUGACGGUCAUGUUGACGACAUCUGCCCGAGCUGAUGAGAGGAGGUGCAUGGCCGCCGUCAGCUCGUACCGUGAGGCGUCCUGUUAAGUCAGGCAACGAGCGAGACCCACGUUCCUAAUUGCCAGCACCGGCUCCGGCCGGGUGGGUACAUUAGGAAGACUGCCAGUGCUAAACUGGAGGAAGGAAUGGGCAACGGUAGGUCAGUAUGCCCCGAAUGGGCUGGGCAACACGCGGGCUACAAUGGUCAGGACAAUGGGUUCCUACGCCGAGAGGCGACGGUAAUCUCAGAAACCUGGUCGUAGUUCGGAUUGCGGACUGAAACUCGUCCGCAUGAAGCUGGAUUCGGUAGUAAUCGCGUUUCAGAAGAGCGCGGUGAAU